This 503-nucleotide ribosomal RNA is filed under the name uncultured bacterium. RNAcentral's name for it is "partial 16S ribosomal RNA". It matches the Rfam family "Bacterial small subunit ribosomal RNA", at positions 30 to 523 of the family's 1533-position model. The record is from RNAcentral.
AUUGAACGCUGGCGGCAGGCUUAACACAUGCAAGUCGAGCGGGGUGAUGGUGCUUGCACUAUCACUUAGCGGCGGACGGGUGAGUAAUGCUUAGGAAUCUGCCUAUUAGUGGGGGACAACAUCUCGAAAGGGAUGCUAAUACCGCAUACGUCCUACGGGAGAAAGCAGGGGAUCACUUGUGACCUUGCGCUAAUAGAUGAGCCUAAGUCGGAGUAGCUAGUUGGUGGGGUAAAGGCCUACCAAGGCGACGAUCUGUAGCGGGUCUGAGAGGAUGAUCCGCCACACUGGGACUGGGACACGGCCCAGACUCCUACGGGAGGCAGCAGUGGGGAAUAUUGGACAAUGGGGGGAACCCUGAUCCAGCCAUGCCGCGUGUGUGAAGAAGGCCUUAUGGUUGUAAAGCACUUUAAGCGAGGAGGAGGCUAACCUAGUUAAUACCUGGGAUUAGUGGACGUUACUCGCAGAAUAAGCACCGGCUAACUCUGUGCCAGCCGCCGCAGUAA